RNAcentral lists this ribosomal RNA (409 nucleotides) under uncultured microorganism. RNAcentral's name for it is "bacterial SSU rRNA". It matches the Rfam family "Archaeal small subunit ribosomal RNA", at positions 330 to 745 of the family's 1478-position model. The record is from RNAcentral.
GUGCAGCAGGCGCGAAACCUCCGCAAUACACGAAAGUGUGACGGGGUUACCCAAAGUGUCCAAAUUUGGACUGUGGUAGGUGAGUAAUGUCCCCUACUAGAAAGGAGAGGGCAAGGCUGGUGCCAGCCGCCGCGGUAAAACCAGCUCUUCAAGUGGUCGGGAUAAUUAUUGGGCUUAAAGUGUCCGUAGCCGGUUUAGUAAGUUCCUGGUAAAAUCGGGUAGCUUAACUAUCUGUAUGCUAGGAAUACUGCUAUACUAGAGGGCGGGAGAGGUCUGAGGUACUACAGGGGUAGGGGUGAAAUCCUGUAAUCCUUGUAGGACCACCAGUGGUGAAGGCGUCAGACUGGAACGCGCCUGACGGUGAGGGACGAAAGCCAGGGGAGCGAACCGGAUUAGAUACCCCCGUAGU